CUCAAAUGAAUUGACGGGGACCCGCACAAGCGGUGGAUGAUGUGGUUUAAUUCGAUGCAACGCGAAAAACCUUACCCACCUUUGACAUGGCAGGAAGAUUUCAGAGAUGGGAUUGUGCCCGAAAGGGAACCUGCACACAGGUGCUGCAUGGCUGUCGUCAGCUCGUGUCGUGAGAUGUUGGGUUAAGUCCCGCAACGAGCGCAACCCUUGCCAUUAGUUGCUACGAAAGGGCACUCUAAUGGGACUGCCGGUGACAAACCGGAGGAAGGUGGGGAUGACGUCAAGUCCUCAUGGCCCUUAUAGGUGGGGCUACACACGUCAUACAAUGGCUGGUACAGAGGGUUGCCAACCCGCGAGGGGGAGCCAAUCCCACAAAGCCAGUCGUAGUCCGGAUCGCAGUCUGCAACUCGACUGCGUGAAGUCGGAAUCGCUAGUAAUCGCGGAUCAGAAUGUCGCGGUGAAUACGUUCCCGGGUCUUGUACACACCGCCCGUCACACCAUGGGAGCGGGUCUCGCCAGAAGUGGGUAGCCUAACCGCAAGGAGGGCGCU
Molecule: ribosomal RNA, 550 nt
Filed under: uncultured Hydrogenophaga sp.
Lineage: Bacteria; Pseudomonadati; Pseudomonadota; Betaproteobacteria; Burkholderiales; Comamonadaceae
Description: bacterial SSU rRNA
Rfam family: Bacterial small subunit ribosomal RNA
Source: RNAcentral